CCUGCCUUGGAGUGGGGAAUAACAGUUGGAAACAGCUGCUAAUACCGCAUAAUGCAGUUGAGUCGCAUGGCUCUGACUGCCAAAGAUUUAUCGCUCUGAGAUGGACUCGCGUCUGAUUAGCUAGUUGGUGGGGCAAUGGCCCACCAAGGCGACGAUCAGUAGCCGGACUGAGAGGUUGGCCGGCCACAUUGGGACUGAGACACGGCCCAGACUCCUACGGAAGGCAGCAG
Molecule: ribosomal RNA, 230 nt
Filed under: uncultured bacterium
Lineage: Bacteria
Description: partial 16S ribosomal RNA
Rfam family: Bacterial small subunit ribosomal RNA
Source: RNAcentral